Molecule: long non-coding RNA, 2242 nt
Filed under: Medicago truncatula (barrel medic)
Lineage: Eukaryota; Viridiplantae; Streptophyta; Magnoliopsida; Fabales; Fabaceae
Description: long non-coding RNA (MTRU_LNC000205)
Source: RNAcentral
GAUUAUACAGCACCACAAAUGGUCAAAGCCUUUCAACUCUCAUGUGGUGAUCCCAACGAUAAUUCUAAUCUUCUUCUCUUUCGGGAGCCAGACCACAUGGCAGGAGCAUUUUCUGCACAAAAGGUAUAAAUUGUCAAAUUAGAAUAUAAAGAGAUAGGUGAGAUUAUAAAGGAAUGUUAUCCAUAUUUCAAUCAAUGAUGAAUGAAGUAAUGUAAAAUAAAAAUUUGACUAAACCCAAGAGUGAUAUGGAGGUCAUGGGUUCAACUCCCCACAGUAACAACAACAGCUAAUAUUUGUCAUUUAAAAUAAAAAACUAAAAUAAACCCUUCUGGUUCUCCAAAGAUUAGGUGUCACUACAUUCAUCCUGCAAAUAUUUGUCCCCAGAUUAAUUCUUUAAAUAUUGAGAUGUCACCACUAUAAUCCAUAUGGAUUUUUAUAAUGUUGAGGAACUUAUUUGAUGAAAAAUUAUUAAGAAGAUAAUUAAAAUUGAGAUUUUACACAAAAACGGAAAAGAGUCAAAUCAUAAAUCGUGCAAUUGUUAACAUCCAUAUAUGCAUAUAAGUUCAUAUGCAUAUAAAUAGCAUAAAACAGAAAAUCUCAAAUCACAGCUUUACAAGUCUUACAAACUCGUAACUUACAAUUCACAAGUCACAAACAAAACAACUAACGUUACUAAAAUAACUAACAUUAGUAAAACAACCAAGAAUGCCUAAUCGCCAGUCUCUUCUAGAGGGGGCAUAUCAUGACUAGGAGUAUUAUUUUCCUUCACAAUCCAUUCCUUCUUAAACAUGUUAUUGGUAGUGGGUUGUGAGCUAAACCUUCUUUUAAAAAUGUUUUUGGAGCUGUCAACAACACCCUCCACUUCACUGCUAUCGCUUUUUUCAGUAAGUUCUAUACAAUCACUCCUAUUUCCAAGACGGGAGAGUGAGUAGCUUGUUUCUAUAGCGAAGGAUAUUCUUAGGCUUGUUUCUAUAACUAAGGACGGGAAAGUGAGUAGCAGCAAAUGCCUCACCAGUAAACAAGUUUUCUUCUAACCCGCAAGAAGAAAACAGGUUCUUUUCCUAACCCUAGCAUGUGCGCCACACGACCACCACCCCUAAUCAGAAUCGCAGAAACUCCAGAAAGAUCCAGAUCAUUCAAUUCAACAAUUGACAGUGGCGAUUCCACCCAAUUUCAACAAAAUCCGAUUUUUGUGUACUCUUAGUGGCUGAGGGCAAGCAAAGAUGUACAAUUGUGUGAUUGUAUGGUUUAAAAAGUGAUUUUGACUACCAUGCAUAAGAGAUCUAAUAAUAUGGUAACACUUCAAUCAAAAAGGAACUAAACUAGUGACAAAAAUCUUUGGAAGACUAAAAUGACUUUCAAAGAUUUUUGUCACUAGUUUAAGCUCAAUUUUCAUCAGCAUUAUUGUUUACGCUCAAUUUCUCCAAAACAAAGAAAAGAAUUGAAAAAUCAGAAAAUGACUUUCAAACAAUCUCCAUUCCCCAAAUUGUGGUGCUAAAAAAGAGUCUGAAAAAGUUGUCUGAGGUUAUUAUUCCAUGCCCCUCUGUUCCCUUCUUAAACUAAAAUAUUAAUACACCUCUCUUUCCUUACCCUACUGGUACAAAUCUGGUAUUUUAUUGAAUAGGGAUAUGAAUCCCAACCCAAAGGCCCAAUUCUCUGUCAAAUCGCUUGAACAUCUCUUUCUUUUCGUAUCCUAUUAUUUCUAAAUCACGGUCUGCCUCUCUAGCUAAGCCUACCAUUUCCAAAUAACCGACCAGAGUUUGGGUACCAACACUCUCCUCGUCGCCUAUUUGUGGCAAACGCUUUAGCAUCACAGCAGACUCCUAAUCCUCUCCGCUAUUUUGCUAUUCCCUGCUAUGGCAGCACAGCACUACUGACAACACAUGUAUUGAGCAUAUAAUCAAAAUAAAAAAAUCAGCCUACUACAAGUUGAUGUAUCAAACUAUGCAAUCUUAACCUAACCAAGUUCAAUGUUUUGACAUCAUAAAGUGGGAAAAAUAUUGUCUGUGUUUGAUGAAAGAAAAUAGUAACGAUCUAGGCAUUGAACAUGAAUCAAAUUGAAAAGUAGUGAAUAAAAAUUACCUGCAUAAAAGUGUAACGCUGUCUACCAAUAGAUUCGUUUUGAGCAAUAGAAAAGUAAGAAAGUAAAGGGUAAUGGCCAAUAUACGAAGCAUAGCUAUCACGUUGAAUAUUCACAGCCCAUUCAAAUCUAUUGAUAUCAGCAUGACCAGUUCCAACAUAU